This is a long non-coding RNA of Varroa destructor (honeybee mite), 769 nucleotides long. Lineage: Eukaryota; Metazoa; Arthropoda; Arachnida; Mesostigmata; Varroidae. The record is from RefSeq and is a predicted model, not a curated record.
GGAGCUCGAGAGUGAUUCAAUGAAAAGGUGUACGUUUGUUGUACUAGCUGCGACUUAGACAAGAAAAAAAGGACUGCACCGUGGUACUUAUAAUAUUAUUCGUUUUGGAUAUUCAUUCUUUGCCGGACCGGAACAACACGUCCUGGUUAGUUCGAUGGAAACCCGCUCGACUAUAUCUGUUUCAGCGAGGCCUUAGGUUUAAUUAUCGAGGACAUUCAACACGCAUUAAUUUUGGUCAUUGAAUAAUGGAUUUACAAGGCUCACCUCGGCUAACCCUGAUCUACCAUACCGGAUCCGCCUUUCUACUAAGUUGCCUCCUUUUGCCAGGCGUUCUCGGAUCCCUACUAGUCGCGGAUCCUGACCGUGGUCUGCCAUUACUUCUGUUAGCUCUUACUGCCGUCCAAGGUGUAACUCUUUGGUGGUUCAAUAACAACGUCGCGUCCAAUUUUAAUCCCAAACAAGUUUCGACGGAAACCUAUAGCCGCUGUGCAACAUUGUUCCUUUUGUCAAUAUUUGCGUUGCACGCCGCUUUGGUGCUUUUCGGCGCUCCUCUACUUGAAGACCUCCUUGAAACGUUCUACUUGGCUUGUGUCGUAGCGUUGCUUGCGUCACUGCCCAUUGCUGUGUGUACCGAGUGUACUGCGUUUGAAAUCGACAGGCUUUUCUUCCGAAGACGACCAGACAACGUAUGUGAACGUUCACUCCUUUACGUAGUAUCCUGUACCUUAAUGGGAUGUUGGUUAGGCGCGCUGCCAAUUCCAUUAGACUG